RNAcentral lists this ribosomal RNA (425 nucleotides) under uncultured bacterium. Its description in RNAcentral is "partial 16S ribosomal RNA". It matches the Rfam family "Bacterial small subunit ribosomal RNA", at positions 354 to 796 of the family's 1533-position model. The record is from RNAcentral.
GUGGGGAAUAUUGGACAAUGGGCGCAAGCCUGAUCCAGCCAUGCCGCGUGAGUGAUGAAGGCCUUAGGGUUGUAAAGCUCUUUCACCCACGACGAUAAUGACGGUAGUGGGAGAAGAAGCCCCGGCUAACUUCGUGCCAGCAGCCGCGGUAAUACGAAGGGGGCUAGCGUUGUUCGGAAUCACUGGGCGUAAAGCGCGCGUAGGCGGACCGUUAAGUCGGAGGUGAAAGCCUGGAGCUCAACUCCAGAACUGCCUUCGAUACUGGCGGUCUCGAGUCCGGGAGAGGUGAGUGGAACUGCUAGUGUAGAGGUGAAAUUCGUGGAUAUUAGCAAGAACACCAGUGGCGAAGGCGGCUCACUGGCCCGGUACUGACGCUGAGGUGCGAAAGCGUGGGGAGCAAACAGGAUUAGAAACCCGAGUAGUCC